AUUGAACGCUGGCGGCAGGCUUAACACAUGCAAGUCGAGCGAGCGGCGGACGGGUGAGUAAUGUCUGGGAAACUGCCUGAUGGAGGGGGAUAACUACUGGAAACGGUAGCUAAUACCGCAUACCAUCAGAUGUGCCCAGAUGGGAGUAGCGAGUAGGUGGGGUAAUGGCUCACCUAGACGACGAUCCCUAGCUGGUCUGAGAGGAUGACCGGCCACACUGGAAAUGAGACACGGUCCUGGCUCCUACGGGAGGCAGCAGUGGGGAAUAGUGCACAAUGGGCGCAAGCCUGAUGCAGCCAUGCCGCGUGUGUGAAGAAGGCCUUCGGGUUUUAAAGCACUUUCAGCGAGGAGGCGUUACUUGCCGAAGAAGCACCGGCUAACUCCGUGCCAGCCGCCGCGGUAAUUC
This 406-nucleotide ribosomal RNA is filed under the name uncultured bacterium. Its description in RNAcentral is "partial 16S ribosomal RNA". It matches the Rfam family "Bacterial small subunit ribosomal RNA", at positions 30 to 526 of the family's 1533-position model. The record is from RNAcentral.